RNAcentral lists this ribosomal RNA (790 nucleotides) under uncultured bacterium. RNAcentral describes it as "bacterial SSU rRNA". It matches the Rfam family "Bacterial small subunit ribosomal RNA", at positions 11 to 813 of the family's 1533-position model. The record is from RNAcentral.
GUUUGAUCNUGGCUCAGGAUGAACGCUAGCGGCAGGCCUAAUACAUGCAAGUCGAACGCCCAGCAAUGGGAGUGGCGCACGGGUGCGUAACGCGUAUGUAACCUACCUUAUUGAGGGGGAUAGCCCGGAGAAAUUCGGAUUAAUACCGCAUAAGAUGGAAGACUGGCAUCAGUUUUUCAUGAAAGAUUUAUUGCGAUAAGAUGGACAUGCGUCUGAUUAGUUAGUUGGUGAGGUAACGGCUCACCAAGACGAUGAUCAGUAGGGGUUCUGAGAGGAAGGUCCCCCACACUGGCACUGAGAUACGGGCCAGACUCCUACGGGAGGCAGCAGUAGGGAAUAUUGGGCAAUGGAGGGAACUCUGACCCAGCCAUGCCGCGUGCAGGACGAAGGAGCUAUGCUCUGUAAACUGCUUUAGCAGGGGAAGAAAAGGCGUCUGCGGACGAGAUUGACGGUACCCUGAGAAUAAGCACCGGCUAACUACGUGCCAGCAGCCGCGGUAAUACGUAGGGUGCAAGCGUUGUCCGGAUUUAUUGGGUUUAAAGGGUGCGUAGGCGGCUUUAUAAGUCAGUGUUUAAAGCACAUAGCUCAACUAUGGAACUGGCAUUGAUACUGUAGAGCUUGAGUAGAAACGGGGCAGGCGGAAUUUAUGGUGUAGCGGUGAAAUGCAUAGAUACCAUAAAGAACACCGAUAGCGAAGGCAGCUUGCCAGGAUCUAACUGACGCUGAGGCACGAAAGCGUGGGGAUCAAACAGGAUUAGAUACCCUGGUAGUCCACGCCGUAAACGAUGAU